GAGCUGGGAGUGAGCGGCCGUACCCGUCACUGCCCUCCUCAGGACCGAGGCGGCGAGCGCUUAAUGCUGGAGUUAGCGUUCCCCAGCACAAGCUUACCAGGUCCAGCUAGGGUGACAACCCUAGAGGGAAGGCCGCAGGAGCUUUGGUCGUAGGGAGAAUAGAUAGGGACACUUAAGGCCAGUCCACGGGGAGGCGGCUCCAUAAACAGCUCCUUGAUGUUAGCAACAGACCGGGCCUACGGGAGCUAGGGCCGCCCGGCAACGUACCCAGUGUUUGUCAACAGUGGCACUCCCCCAUCGCCGACCAAACCAGUCGCCCCAGAGCCUGCACGCAGCCUCACUCAAGUAUGCCUUUCCUCUUUUCCUCCCAGUACAUAACCUUCACUGCUGGGGGACACAGGUCCGGGUCCAGCACCAUCCCCGAAACCUUCCCCCUCGGCUCUGAGAGCGCCCCCACCUGUUAGAGAGGGAACUUGGGUCCCAAGAAGACUCCAAUUUGGCUCAGUUCUCUAUCACCCCCUAAGCAAAAAUACAAAUAAGCACAUCAUUUUUUCUUAAUAAAUUUAUUCACAAAAAGUGAUAUUGCAGAGGGUCUGGGGGCUGUACAUGGGCAGGGGCUUGGUGAGCUUUGUACAUGGGGCUGGGAGACAAGGGAGCCUCCAGGUGGAAGGGUAUUUUUUAAUAAAAAAAAUAAUGGAGCUACAACCACCCCCUCCCCCCUCCCCGAUUAAAAAGACACAAAAAUAGACGUCUCUGAGGUAAACGGGGAGCCUGGGGCUUAAGGGUGUUUAAAGGGCUUCACAGGUGCCAGAGCUUAGAGGUGUCACAGGCACCGGGGUGGCUCCUGCAUCAGUUGGUAGAACAGCACGUAGCCCUCGCUGGAUGCCACCUGGUUUUCACUGACAGGGGAGACACUAGGAAAAAAGGAGAUCGGGAAAGGGUUGUGGUCAUUCCUGUUUACUCCCUUCUCCCUACAAGACCGAACCUCAGAGCAUCCAGGAAAUGAUCAGGCAAGACCUCCACCUCUCCUUUCACCUGGCACUCUGCUCUCCUGGAGCUUCAUAGAAGGGGAGGGUGUCAGGGCUGAGUGGGAAUGGGGCAGGAUGUAAAUAGGAGGCUAUUCUCACCGAGAGUCAUUGUAGACAUGCCAACCAGUCUGGCACCGGCACAGGGCUGUGUAGUGGCCAUAGUGGACGCUGCCUGAGUGGUUGCAAAGGGCAUACAGCUGGUAUACAGGACUUCCUGCGGGGUUGGAGAUGAUCAAGUUCUAUAAUCAGAGCUGUGCCCCCACUCCUUUGGCUCCUUAGGACUUUCCCCACCAGACUCACCGGCUUUGUCACUGGCAAAGUCCCCUAGGCUCAGUCGCUGCAGUGGAAAGUCUACACCUACUGAACUUUUUUUGAUGGAGCCU
RNAcentral lists this long non-coding RNA (1411 nucleotides) under Homo sapiens (human). Its description in RNAcentral is "non-protein coding lnc-B4GALT3-2:1". The record is from RNAcentral. Lineage: Eukaryota; Metazoa; Chordata; Mammalia; Primates; Hominidae.